CUUUUCAGCAUUAGGGUCAGGACCCAGCAGAAAGGGACAGCAGGAAGGAUCAGCCUCCGGUGUGUGAACCCACAGACUCACCACCCGCAGAGAACCCCAUCCUGGACUCGGUUGUUCCUGAACAGAGGUGGGGUGCGGAUGCUACAUGUGGGGUCACGGCAUAAAGGGAGCACUUCCUUCCCCCCUCCCCCCCCGCAGAAACGCUGAAGAGGACAAGUCGGGCAGAUGUCCACGAGAGGGACCCCGGUCCACUGCCGCUGACCCACGACAGAGCCCACGACAGAGCCCACAGAGGUUGAAAUAAGGCAGAGAGAUCAAUAAAACCCUCUUGGCUGGAAAAGAGGAGCUGUUUCCAGGGCAACAAGGGAGGAUGAUAUGUUAUGGAUUUGAAGGAGACAGCAUUUGACUAAUGCAAAGAAAGAAGUGAGAGAAAACAGAGAUCAGACUCGGGGCCAAACGGAGAAUAAGAGACCGUGACUCGAGCCUCUGCCGCUUCUCUGUUGAGCGCCCCAAACCGCCCUCCCCCAGCUCCCAGCGCCCAGCUCCCCUCCCAGCCCACAGGCCUCUCAGGCUUCCGUGGCUCUUCUCCCUCCGGGGAAACUUCACUACAGAAAGAGACCAGACACACGGAAACUCUCAACUUCUUGCAGAGGCUGUGGAGUUUCAACGUGAGGUAAGAUCUCCUGCUAGAGUUUCUUCAAGGAUGGCAAUCAGUUCUCAGGAGCCGGGGUGGCAACACCCAAGACUAGGGAAGAGUGAAAUGUACGUGAAAGUCUCUGGUAGUUUUGAUCAGUGGUGAGUACAUCAUGAGAAACGCUGGGCUGGAGGAAGCACAAGCUGGAAUCAAGAUUGCUGGGAGAAAUAUCGAUAACCUCAGAUAUGCAGAUGACACCACUCUUAUGGCAGAAAGUGAAGAAGAACUAAAGAGCCUCUUGAUGAAAGUAAAAGAGGAGAGUGAAAAAGUUGGCUGAAAGUUCA
Molecule: long non-coding RNA, 978 nt
Filed under: Bos indicus x Bos taurus (hybrid cattle)
Lineage: Eukaryota; Metazoa; Chordata; Mammalia; Artiodactyla; Bovidae
Description: lncRNA (ENSBIXG00000028567.1)
Source: RNAcentral